Molecule: long non-coding RNA, 1026 nt
Filed under: Salvia miltiorrhiza (redroot sage)
Lineage: Eukaryota; Viridiplantae; Streptophyta; Magnoliopsida; Lamiales; Lamiaceae
Description: long non-coding RNA (SMIL_LNC006145)
Source: RNAcentral
ACUUAUAAAACAUACACAUAAAGGAGAACUGAUUAAGGUGGGUUACCCAAUAACACGUGUCACAACUUCAUAACAUAGAGCUAUCUUAAUCAAAGUGUUUUGCAGCGGAAAACGUGUGAGAUAUACAUAUGAAGAUGUAUACUCAAGGUUACAUUUCUUGAAAUGUCAAAGGAACACCCGCUCAACGCCAUUCCAUUCCAUCAGCUGCUCAACCUGCACAUUUAGAAAUACAUGCAGGGCUGAGUAUAAAAAUACUCAGUGGGCAUAGCCGAAAAUACAACAUGCAUACAUAUAUAAAUUGAACUGCCAUAACAGUAACACACAGGGGUUUUCUUGAAUGGCCUGCGCUUACUAAAACAUUUCGUUCAUUUUCAUAAAGUCGAUCGGCCGAUCAUUUUCCUUCAUAUGAUCCAUAUAUGUUCCUUUCUGUCACGCGCCGGGAAGGAGGCCUCCUUACCACGGAUGCAAAGACCGAUCGCAAGCGACUCGCGGUCUCCAUAAGUGUACACGUUAACCCUAGCUAGCAACCUUUGUCUAGCAUAGGAUCCCAAUUGGAUUUCCUUUAAAGUUGGCGAACCAACACAGAUAGGAUACAUAUAAAAACAUAAACAUUUUUGGCAGUCAAUCAUUUCAUAAACUAUUUCAUUUCAUAAACAUUUUCAUUUUCAUUUCAUAAGAGUCAUUUAUCAUUUGGGCAUAAUAAUAAACUGAAAUUAACAGUUAAAAUCAUCUCAUGCAUAUAUUCGUAUAAGAGGCCUACGACACGCAGGGGAUCUCUAUAUACGUAUAGUAAAAGUAAUGCCCACCUCAAACGUUCUUAAGCUAGCGUGGAGUCGCUUCUUCUUCGGCUUCAUUUCCUGUCGCCCGGACCCUUAUUGAUGAAGAGUCGGUAAGUUCGUGAAGAAAAUUGUCACAAGACAAAGUCUAAUUCUACGUGUCUAGGGUAUCUUUUAGUAUUUUAGGGUUCUAGCAUCCAUAAGUCGUUUCGAUUAAAACAAUCAAAAACCAACAUAACAUCGACUAACC